This 253-nucleotide ribosomal RNA is filed under the name uncultured bacterium. Its description in RNAcentral is "partial 16S ribosomal RNA". It matches the Rfam family "Bacterial small subunit ribosomal RNA", at positions 524 to 776 of the family's 1533-position model. The record is from RNAcentral.
UACGUAGGGUGCGAGCGUUGUCCUGAAUUACUGGGCGUAAAGAGCUCGUAGGUGGUUUGUCGCGUUGUUCGUGAAAACUCACAGCUUAACUGUGGGCGUGCGGGCGAUACGGGCAGACUGGAGUACUGCAGGGGAGACUGGAAUUCCUGGUGUAGCGGUGGAAUGCGCAGAUAUCAGGAGGAACACCGAUGGCGAAGGCAGGUCUCUGGGCAUUAACUGACGCUGAGGAGCGAAAGCAUGGGGAGCGAACAGG